UACGUAGGAGGCGAGCGUUGUCCGGAAUCACUGGGCGUAAAGCGCGUGUAGGCGGGAAGGCAAGUCUGCUGUGAAAGCGCCUGGCUUAACCGGGCGAGGUCGGCGGAAACUGCUUACCUGGAGGACGGUAGAGGGGGGUGGAAUUCCCGGUGUAGCGGUGGAAUGCGUAGAUAUCUGGAAGAACACCGGUGGCGAAGGCGGUGGUCUGGGCCGUUACUGACGCUGAGGAGCGAAAGCCAGGGGAGCGAACGGG
This 253-nucleotide ribosomal RNA is filed under the name uncultured bacterium. Its description in RNAcentral is "partial 16S ribosomal RNA". It matches the Rfam family "Bacterial small subunit ribosomal RNA", at positions 524 to 776 of the family's 1533-position model. The record is from RNAcentral.